AGAGUUUGAUCGUGGCUCAGGACGAACGCUGGCGGCGUGCUUAACACAUGCAAGUCGAACGGAAAGGCCCUUCGGGGUACUCGAGUGGCGAACGGGUGAGUAACACGUGGGUGAUCUGCCCUGCACUCUGGGAUAAGCCUGGGAAGCUGGGUCUAAUACCGGAUAGGACCACACACUUCAUGGUGAGUGGUGCAAAGCUUUUGCGGUGUGGGAUGAGCCCGCGGCCUAUCAGCUUGUUGGUGGGGUAAUGGCCCACCAAGGCGACGACGGGUAGCCGGCCUGAGAGGGUGACCGGCCACACUGGGACUGAGAUACGGCCCAGACUCCUACGGGAGGCAGCAGUGGGGAAUAUUGCACAAUGGGCGCAAGCCUGAUGCAGCGACGCCGCGUGAGGGAUGACGGCCUUCGGGUUGUAAACCUCUUUCAGUAGGGACGAAGCGAAAGUGACGGUACCUACAGAAGAAGGACCGGCCAACUACGUGCCAGCAGCCGCGGUAAUACGUAGGGUCCGAGCGUUGUCCGGAAUUACUGGGCGUAAAGAGCUCGUAGGUGGUUUGUCGCGUUGUUCGUGAAAACUCACAGCUUAACUGUGGGCGUGCGGGCGAUACGGGCAGACUAGAGUACUGCAGGGGAGACUGGAAUUCCUGGUGUAGCGGUGGAAUGCGCAGAUAUCAGGAGGAACACCGGUGGCGAAGGCGGGUCUCUGGGCAGUAACUGACGCUGAGGAGCGAAAGCGUGGGUAGCGAACAGGAUUAGAUACCCUGGUAGUCC
This 771-nucleotide ribosomal RNA is filed under the name uncultured bacterium. RNAcentral describes it as "bacterial SSU rRNA". It matches the Rfam family "Bacterial small subunit ribosomal RNA", at positions 8 to 796 of the family's 1533-position model. The record is from RNAcentral.